GAUGAACGCUAGCGACAGGCCUAACACAUGCAAGUCGAGGGGCAACAUGGUAUCAGCUUGCUGAUACCGAUGGCGACCGGCGCACGGGUGAGUAACGCGUAUGUAAUCUACCUGUAACAGAGGGAUAACCCGGAGAAAUCCGGACUAAUACCUCAUAGCACAUAUUAUUCGCAUGAAUUUUAUGUUAAAGAGACUCGGUUACAGAUGAACAUGCGUUCCAUUAGCUGGUUGGCGGGGUCACGGCCCACCAAGGCAACGAUGGAUAGGGGUUCUGAGAGGAAGGUCCCCCACACUGGUACUGAGACACGGACCAGACUCCUACGGGAGGCAGCAGUGAGGAAUAUUGGUCAAUGGGCGGAAGCCUGAACCAGCCAAGUCGCGUGAGGGAAGACUGCCCUAUGGGUUGUAAACCUCUUUUAUUCGGGAAGAAUAAGUUUCACGCGUGGAACGAUGCCUGUACCGAAUGAAUAAGCAUCGGCUAACUCCGUGCCAGCAGCCGCGGUAAUACGGAGGAUGCGAGCGUUAUCCGGAUUUAUUGGGUUUAAAGGGUGCGUAGGCGGUUGAUUAAGUUAGUGGUAAAAUGUCAUGGCUAAACCUUGGCCAGCCAUUAAUACUGGUCAGCUUGAGUACAGACGAGGUAGGCGGAAUAAGUUAAGUAGCGGUGAAAUGCUUAGAUAUAACUUAGAACUCCGAUAGCGAAGGCAGCUUACCAGACUGUGACUGACGCUGAAGCACGAAAGCGUGGGUAGCGAACAGG
RNAcentral lists this ribosomal RNA (757 nucleotides) under uncultured bacterium. Its description in RNAcentral is "bacterial SSU rRNA". It matches the Rfam family "Bacterial small subunit ribosomal RNA", at positions 28 to 776 of the family's 1533-position model. The record is from RNAcentral.